This is a long non-coding RNA of Motacilla alba alba, 872 nucleotides long. RefSeq lists it as uncharacterized. NCBI's taxonomy places the organism in Eukaryota, Metazoa, Chordata, Aves, Passeriformes, Motacillidae. The transcript has 3 exons. The record is from RefSeq and is a predicted model, not a curated record.
CAGGCACACAUCUCUCUUCCCUGACCAGCUCCCAAAGGGACCUGGCAGGCUGCCCCUUCUCCCUCCUGAAGCUUGGCUGCUUGGCACGGGGGCCGGGGAACCUCCCGCAGACGCGGCAGGCACAGCCCCCUCCCUGCCCAGGCGCACGCAGGCUGGGGACUCGCUCCGUGUCCCCGCUCAGGGGUGACCCCGGUGCCGGGCUGCCCUCAGCCCCCUUCCGGAUCCCGAGGGCGGUAAUGCGGCUCCUGCACCCCAGCAGCGCAUCGGCCCAUGCCAGCGGACCCGGGAACCUCAGCUGCGGGCAGGAUCGAAGUGAUGUGGAGAGCCCUGCCUGCCCUGGUGGUACGGGGGCUGUAGUCAGGAGGCAAGGAGGAGCAAAGGAGGAGAAUGUUGCCUCAUCUUCUGCUCACAACAAGCCCAGGCCACCUGGCAUGGGAGUGGUAUGGGCAUAGCAGGGAGCAUGUGAAUCACCUUGGACGUGCAGUUCUGUGAAGAAGAGGUGUGUGUUUGUGUUGGAAGUGCUGUAAUAUUUGGCACACUGAGACUUCUACCUGCUCACCAUGACUGGUAUUCCCUGUUCUGCAAGACUGGGAGAAAAAGAGCAUAUGCAAUGAAACAGGUCCUUGGAUUUUGGAUCUUGAGGUGACCUUGACUCCACAAAUCUCCUGAACAAUUAAACUACAGAACAGUUGAUUGCUUCUUUGUUUGUAUGGCAAUAGAUUAUGGAAUAAGAUAAAAGGAGCCUUCAGAACCUACUCUGACUGGCUUUUUUUUUUUCUUUUUGUGGAGAACACUACCACAAAAAUAUGCCAUAAUGUAAGAAAAUGGUUUUAGUAUAUUUCUGUUUCAAAUUAAGAAAAAAAAAUUCAUGU